Long non-coding RNA from Siniperca chuatsi (mandarin fish), 2802 nucleotides. RefSeq lists it as uncharacterized. The record is from RefSeq and is a predicted model, not a curated record. Lineage: Eukaryota; Metazoa; Chordata; Actinopteri; Centrarchiformes; Sinipercidae. The transcript is spliced from 2 exons.
UAGUAUCUUUCAGUUCAUUGUGUUAUCACUGCAACUGUACUGUUCUGGUUCACGCUACACAGCUGUCGUUUCCAGCAACAAUAAGCGGCUCUGCUAAACCCACUGUACCAUACAUACCCAGCAACAAAUGGCAGAAAAAGUUAGUAAUUAGAGCACUUCGCAGCUAGCCCAAGUUAGUGCCUGUCAUAUAUUGGCAUACAUGGGGUCACAGAGGUAACCAUCAGCAAUUAACCGACAUUUAAACCGGUGGUUUAAAAGCACUUACCGCCGUUCUGACGGUAUUUCCAGAAUCCCCAGAAACUUUUCUAACGAUCUGGAUGAAGACAUAGUCCACCUGCUGCACGAUAAAAAACAUUUUUAACCCGUUUCCCAAUUUGCGACACUCUGUUUCCUGCCCAGGUAGCCGGUGGGCUGCCAUCUUUGUUUUGAUUGGGAGACGGCGCAACAACAGCCUUUUUUACCAUUCAGCAGACGGGAUAUUUUUUUAUCCAGGUGGAAGAGUCUGUGGGGAUUUUGGAAAUACCUUCAGAACAACAGUUGUGAUGACAGAAGAAAGGAGAAUAUCAAGAUUCCCCAGCAUGUGGAUUGAUAUUUACUGUAUCUGUCUCGUGCUUAAUUGCUCUGGGAAUAAUUACAUGGUGUGCCUGUAAUAAUCACUGAAUUUGAGUUUUCAUACUGGGAAAACUUGUUAACAGAGAAGAUCUUGUUAUUGCUCAAGCUUCAGAUAGGUCAUGUUGUCUCAUUCACAGUUUUCCACUCAUUGUCAACCCCAUACAUACCAAGUUCCUGAGAGGAAGGAAGUUGGUAAACAUUCCUUAUUGUAAUUUCUCCUAGAACAGGAAACUCGGGAAGAGGAGAGACAUGAUGUAACAGACAGUUAUGAGGAGUCUGCAGUAAAAAAUGUAUUAUAAUGAUUAUUUAAAUUGUCACCUAAUGUUUCAUAUCCUUUAUAAUGCAGGAUCGAAGACUUGAUGGACUCCUUUGCUAAUACUGCCACCUUUUGAUGAACCUGAAAUCAGCUUUUAAUCUUCAUCACAGGCUCACCCUGCAGACCACACCUCCUGACCUCAGGGUCCCACUCGGUCUCUUGUGUGCUCUCCUUUACCUCCAACCCUCCCAUUCCACCCAAUAUUAUCUUACCAUCAAUGAAUUUAGAAGGGGCGUGCUUUGGCAUGAAGAAGGAAAACAUGACGUAUUUGGCAGCUGUAACUACACUGAGGGGGGAGCCACCCCACAAUAAAAACAACCAGCUGAGUUUUGUUCACAAUCCCAGAUUCCACAGCACAUACACUACUCUUGGCUGGAUGGUGGAAUAGAGAGGUGGGGGAACUUAAGAGCUGGAUGGGAUGAAGGAUGGGAGGGAGCAGGCUGGAGCUGGGGAACUUGUGUGACAUUUAAGAAAAGCUGUGGAAGAGACGAUUUGGAGUGAUGUACUGUAGGGGUACAGGGGCCAAUGGGUGGAAAAUUUAAAGGGUCGGUUCAUCCAAAUGACAAAGAAAACAUUUUUAUUCAUUUUAUUUCUGCCACAAACCCCAAUACAAUGGAGUGGUGCUCACAGAACUGAAAAAUUAUAUAAAAAAAAAAUCAAAAGCAUCUCUUUCCAGAAACAAUGUCUGCUUUACUCUGGAUAAUCCACACAGUGCACUGUUAACAGUUUUCAUAGAAAAUAGUUCCAAGGCAAAAUGUUUACAAGACCUUGUGAACAGAGAAAGAGAUGUUGCUGUUUAUUUUUAAAUGCUGCAAGCUGCACAAAUCACCAUUGUAUUGGGCCAGUGGCAGAACACCCAGAGAUGCUUAUCUCAAAACCUGGGCAAAUCAAACUAUCUGCAUGGCAAGUUACUAUUAAGGUUUAAGUGGGAAAAUAUGGAUUUUCUUCUGUGUGUGUGUGAAAUUUGAGUGAGUUUGACAGAGAUUUAGAGAGAGCCUUAAGAAUGAGUAAAUGUGGAGCAGACAAUUAAAUGAGAAGUGAACUUGAUAGUCUUACUUGGGUGAAGUCUGUUGGUUUCUUUAAUCUAGACACUGUGUGUAAAAUAACAUCUUAGCUGGUGAUUCACCUCCCAGAGUUCAAGGUCAAAUAGGCUGCAAAUAACAGAGAUGUCUGAGUGUAUAUACUGUACAUACAGCGAUGUUCACGUCCACUUGGAUUUACACCGUUUAAAUUUGCACCGUGCAGCAGUCUCAAAUUGUAGAUGACCACAUUUAAGCCUAUAUAUUUAUGUCUAUGGUAUGUGCUUUUUGUGAUGGCUUAAUGGUUGUGGCAUAUUGUGACAACAGCACUGUUCUACAGCACCACUCAAUGGCCUUGAGGAAAUAUUUUCCUUGUAGGGUGUGGAAGGGGACAGGGCAGGGUAGGAAUUCACAUGGAGCUUGAUCUUGUGAUAAAAGAAGGAUGUGAGCGGGAAAUAAGCUAGUCACACUGUCACAUACAAUGCAUGGUGACAGAAAAUAAAUUAAAAAUAUGUAUAUAACCGUGAUGAUGGAUAGUGAGUCGAACCAGGACUAACAUGGUGCUCAUGAACAUGUCCUGUGCUUUUUCGAAAAGACAGCUGGUGGAUGUUUCCGCUGCCCCACCCAAACUGUGGAAGACAAAACAGUGUGAAGUGAUGUCAUUACUACUGCUUAUGCAAACCAGCUGUGUGACCUUAUGGGCUGUAUGGGAUUUAAAUUCAAUGUGUGUUAGAGCACAGAUGUAUGUAUUUGCGUGCGUGUUUGUAAGUACAUGUGCACAUGUUUCUGUGGUUAAAAAUCCCAUUGCUCUUUCUUAUGAUUGAUUUUUUUUUUAAUAAAAUGAGACUGAAAACA